CGUUGGGCGGGAUUCUCGUGGUGUGACGGUCCCCCCAGCGGGCGGGCGUGGGCGUGGUCCCCUCCAUCCACGAGCGGCGACUUCACCCUCUCGGCUCUGGUCCAGGAUGCUGAUCUCGGAAAUGGAGCCCUGGAGGUUAUGAGUAUGAUGCUUCCAUAUACGUUUGGAUGUUUUCAGCUAAGUUCACUUCUGAACUGUGGGGUUCCUCCAAGUGUUGCCUGAAAUCUGUCCUUGAGCAUCCCCACGCUCAUCUAAUCUACAGUCCAUAAUGGAGCCACUGUACUGGCUUUUGGAAGGAGGAGAUUCUGAAGAUAGGGAGAUUCAGCAAUCAGUCUUUGAAAUUUCCUGUGGUCUGUUCAAUCUAGAUGCAAAGGACAUGGAAAAAUCAAGUGCUCAAGUGGUUUAAAUAUGUUUUGGAUAUUCUUAUUUAUAGAUUACAGGAUUUUUCCAAUUAAAAUCCACAGUUGUCAUGCAGAAGGAGGUUAUGCCCUUCUUGAUCACCAGUUUUAUUUGAAAUGCUUAGCAUUAUAGUGUGUUACUGAAUGCUGUUUUAAUCAAAGUAUAGAAAAAUAAAAACAAUUUUAUAUGUUGA
Molecule: long non-coding RNA, 592 nt
Organism: Bubalus bubalis (water buffalo)
Lineage: Eukaryota; Metazoa; Chordata; Mammalia; Artiodactyla; Bovidae
Exons: 4
Source: RefSeq, a predicted model, not a curated record